GACGUAGGGCGCGAGCGUUGUCCGGAUUUAUUGGGCGUAAAGAGCACGUAGGCGGCUUGUCGCGUCGACUGUGAAAACCCGAGGCUCAACUUCGGGCUUGCAGUCGAUACGGGCAGGCUAGAGUUCGGUAGGGGAGACUGGAAUUCCUGGUGUAGCGGUGAAAUGCGCAGAUAUCAGGAGGAACACCGAUGGCGAAGGCAGGUCUCUGGGCCGAUACUGACGCUGAGGAGCGAAAGCGUGGGGAGCGAACAGG
This 253-nucleotide ribosomal RNA is filed under the name uncultured bacterium. Its description in RNAcentral is "partial 16S ribosomal RNA". It matches the Rfam family "Bacterial small subunit ribosomal RNA", at positions 524 to 776 of the family's 1533-position model. The record is from RNAcentral.